UGGGCUGUGGCUCAGUGGUAGAGCACUUGCCUAGCAUGUAGUGAGGCACUGGGUUCAGUUCUCAGCACCACAU
This 73-nucleotide transfer RNA is filed under the name Marmota monax (woodchuck). It matches the Rfam family "tRNA". From Rfam's summary of the family: Transfer RNA (tRNA) molecules are approximately 80 nucleotides in length. Their secondary structure includes four short double-helical elements and three loops (D, anti-codon, and T loops). The record is from Rfam by way of RNAcentral. Lineage: Eukaryota; Metazoa; Chordata; Mammalia; Rodentia; Sciuridae.